ACUGACCAACACAGAAAGUCUUUUGAAAAUGCUACCAGUUUUAUUAAGCACUAUAUACCUUCCAGGGCUUCCCAGGUGGCACUAGUGGUAAAGAAGCCCCGUCAAUGCAGGAAAGAUCUUGGUGCCCCCAGCCUAAAAUAGGCAAAAGCUAAAGAACAUGAAAAAGUGGAAGCAGUGACAGAUCUUAUUUUCCUGGGCUCCACAAUCAUUGCGGAUGGUGAUUGCAGCCAAGAAAUUAAAAGAUGCU
Molecule: long non-coding RNA, 247 nt
Filed under: Bos indicus x Bos taurus (hybrid cattle)
Lineage: Eukaryota; Metazoa; Chordata; Mammalia; Artiodactyla; Bovidae
Description: lncRNA (ENSBIXG00000009071.1)
Source: RNAcentral